UUUAUGGAGAGUUUGAUCCUGGCUCAGGAUGAACGCUGGCGGCGUGCCUAAUACAUGCAAGUCGAGCGAACGGACGAGAAGCUUGCUUCUCUGAUGUUAGCGGCGGACGGGUGAGUAACACGUGGAUAACCUACCUAUAAGACUGGGAUAACUUCGGGAAACCGGAGCUAAUACCGGAUAAUAUUUUGAACCGCAUGGUUCAAAAGUGAAAGACGGUCUUGCUGUCACUUAUAGAUGGAUCCGCGCUGCAUUAGCUAGUUGGUAAGGUAACGGCUUACCAAGGCAACGAUGCAUAGCCGACCUGAGAGGGUGAUCGGCCACACUGGAACUGAGACACGGUCCAGACUCCUACGGGAGGCAGCAGUAGGGAAUCUUCCGCAAUGGGCGAAAGCCUGACGGAGCAACGCCGCGUGAGUGAUGAAGGUCUUCGGAUCGUAAAACUCUGUUAUUAGGGAAGAACAUAUGUGUAAGUAACUGUGCACAUCUUGACGGUACCUAAUCAGAAAGCCACGGCUAACUACGUGCCAGCAGCCGCGGUAAUACGUAGGUGGCAAGCGUUAUCCGGAAUUAUUGGGCGUAAAGCGCGCGUAGGCGGUUUUUUAAGUCUGAUGUGAAAGCCCACGGCUCAACCGUGGAGGGUCAUUGGAAACUGGAAAACUUGAGUGCAGAAGAGGAAAGUGGAAUUCCAUGUGUAGCGGUGAAAUGCGCAGAGAUAUGGAGGAACACCAGUGGCGAAGGCGACUUUCUGGUCUGUAACUGACGCUGAUGUGCGAAAGCGUGGGGAUCAAACAGGAUUAGAUACCCUGGUAGUCCACGCCGUAAACGAUGAGUGCUAAGUGUUAGGGGGUUUCCGCCCCUUAGUGCUGCAGCUAACGCAUUAAGCACUCCGCCUGGGGAGUACGACCGCAAGGUUGAAACUCAAAGGAAUUGACGGGGACCCGCACAAGCGGUGGAGCAUGUGGUUUAAUUCGAAGCAACGCGAAGAACCUUACCAAAUCUUGACAUCCUUUGACAACUCUAGAGAUAGAGCUUUCGCCUUCGGGGGACAAAGUGACAGGUGGUGCAUGGUUGUCGUCAGCUCGUGUCGUGAGAUGUUGGGUUAAGUCCCGCAACGAGCGCAACCCUUAAGCUUAGUUGCCAUCAUUAAGUUGGGCACUCUAAGUUGACUGCCGGUGACAAACCGGAGGAAGGUGGGGAUGACGUCAAAUCAUCAUGCCCCUUAUGAUUUGGGCUACACACGUGCUACAAUGGACAAUACAAAGGGCAGCGAAACCGCGAGGUCAAGCAAAUCCCAUAAAGUUGUUCUCAGUUCGGAUUGUAGUCUGCAACUCGACUACAUGAAGCUGGAAUCGCUAGUAAUCGUAGAUCAGCAUGCUACGGUGAAUACGUUCCCGGGUCUUGUACACACCGCCCGUCACACCACGAGAGUUUGUAACACCCGAAGCCGGUGGAGUAACCUUUUAGGAGCUAGCCGUCGAAGGUGGGACAAAUGAUUGGGGUGAAGUCGUAACAAGGUAGCCGUAUCGGAAGGUGCGGCUGGAUCACCUCCUUU
Molecule: ribosomal RNA, 1552 nt
Filed under: Staphylococcus aureus
Lineage: Bacteria; Bacillati; Bacillota; Bacilli; Caryophanales; Staphylococcaceae
Description: 16S ribosomal RNA
Rfam family: Bacterial small subunit ribosomal RNA
Source: RNAcentral